RNAcentral lists this ribosomal RNA (531 nucleotides) under uncultured bacterium. RNAcentral describes it as "bacterial SSU rRNA". It matches the Rfam family "Bacterial small subunit ribosomal RNA", at positions 8 to 526 of the family's 1533-position model. The record is from RNAcentral.
AGAGUUUGAUCAUGGCUCAGAGUGAACGCUGGCGGCAUGCCUAACACAUGCAAGUCGAACGGCAGCAUGAGGUGUAGCAAUACACCUUGAUGGCGAGUGGCGGACGGGUGAGGAACACAUCGGAAUCUGCCCGGUCGUGGGGGAUAACGUAGGGAAACUUACGCUAAUACCGCAUGAGACCGAGAGGUGAAAGCGGGGGAUCGCAAGACCUCGCGCGAUUGGAUGAGCCGAUGUCGGAUUAGCUAGUUGGUGGGGUAAAGGCCUACCAAGGCGACGAUCCGUAGCUGGUCUGAGAGGAUGAUCAGCCACACUGGGACUGAGACACGGCCCAGACUCCUACGGGAGGCAGCAGUGGGGAAUAUUGGACAAUGGGGGCAACCCUGAUCCAGCAAUGCCGCGUGUGUGAAGAAGGCCUUCGGGUUGUAAAGCACUUUUAUCGGGAACGAAACAUUGUCGGUGAAUAUCCGGCAAGACUGACGGUACCCGAGGAAUAAGCACCGGCUAACUUCGUGCCAGCAGCCGCGGUAAUUC